GAGCUCUUAGCUCUUAGCCUCCGUCUCCAUUCGGCCCUCUCGAUCCUUCUCGACCCUACGUUCAAUCUGUUCUCAAAUCCCCCUCCCUCCCAGAAUUCCUUUACAGGUCACGCCCCCUCCGCUGGCCCUGACCCCGCCUUUGCCGUACACCGUGCCCCCCGUCUUAGAGGCCCCGCCCCGUUGGAGGUCCGGCUCCGGACUCCGCCCAGUUUCAGCUCCGGGUCCGGAAUCCGCAGGGUCUCAGUCUGUGGCCCCGACCCCCGCUCGCUCACCCCCAGACGCAGGCCCUGGAAGAAGUGCACGUCGGGCUGCGUGCGCUCGGGCUCCUGGCACACGAGCAGCAGCAGUGAGCAGCUCUGGCCCGGCGGUAUCACCGUGUCGCAACGCACGAUGGCGCUCAGCGGUCUAUACUAAGAGAGGCUGGAAACCAGAGAAGGCACAUCCUUGUCCUGGAUUGAUGGGGAAGAAAGAACAGACAGAAAGAGCCCAGGUGGGUGUGGGUUCGAGUCCUGGUUUGCCACUUAAUAAUUUUGGUAAUACUUAUUGUGUGCUUAUAUCCUCUUCUGAGUACCUUGUGUGUGUGUGUGUGUGUGUGUGUGUGUGUGUGUGUGUUUGUAUAAACCUCACAACGUCCUAGGAAAUGGGUUCAGUUAUCCCCAUUUUAUACAUGAAGAAACCAAGACAUAUUAAAGUUAAGUAACGUGUCUAUAAUCACAC
RNAcentral lists this long non-coding RNA (717 nucleotides) under Phocoena sinus (vaquita). RNAcentral describes it as "lncRNA (ENSPSNG00000007056.1)". Lineage: Eukaryota; Metazoa; Chordata; Mammalia; Artiodactyla; Phocoenidae. The record is from RNAcentral.